UAGUGUUGGGGGCGUGUUGGGGCGCGGGUGUAUUCGCCUUUUACACUCUAACCCUUCAUCCCUAUUUUCGGCGCUCUCACACUUCGCAAUCCCCGACCUCAUCCGCCCACAAGCAUCUCGUCGUGACCACUUCUGCCGCCAACCCCGCCAAGCCUCAUCGCAUCUUAGUCCCCAUUCGGCCCUUCGCCGUUGCGCGAUCUCCCGUCUCUCUACCACUUGAAUCUUGUCGUCGUCGUCGAGUUUACCGCCGAUUCUAUGCGUAUAGAGAAAUGUUUGAUUUUUAAGGACCUCCUGAAGCCCUAUGCAUACAGAGAAAGGUAAAUUGGUAACUUGCUUUGGCAUAAAGGAUCUUGGGUUGUUUCCAAGUUGAGUUGUACUAUACUUAUUUGGUUAUACUAUUCAUGUUAUAUGGGUUGAAGGGAUGGCUCCUGUUUUUUCUUGAUCUGCAUGGCAAUGUGUGUGGCACCUCAUAUAGGGGAAUCCAAUUGUGGGGGUUCAUAUCCUUUCAUAUUCAGCUGAUGUAAUAGACGUGUAUUGUCCACAAGGUCCUGAUAAUGUACCUAGGCAAGGAACUGUUCUUUGCCAUACCAUUUCUGAUGCAGAAGGGAAAUUUGUCUUCAAAUCUUUACCUUGUGGUUCCUCUUGGUGCAAUCCCAAAAUCGAAGAAGUGCACUAUUCAUAUAUUCAUAGGACAGAAUAUCAAAAGCUAUCGGGAUAAAGAACGACAUUGCAGACUUUCCUCGGCAUAUAAUAAAUCUAAGAAGAGAGAGGGUAGAAAAUCAUGUGCACCAGCAAAUCUUUUUAGUUAAUUGCGAGAGUAGAUUCUUUUUCAGUUAUUUCUAAUAUUAUAUUAGCUUUGAAAGUAAAAGAUGUAUCAUUGGUGUUUUAUUUAUAAAAUUGACUCAAAUGUUGAUUAGAUGAAUAAAAAUUAUGUAUUCACAUUU
Molecule: long non-coding RNA, 944 nt
Organism: Zingiber officinale
Lineage: Eukaryota; Viridiplantae; Streptophyta; Magnoliopsida; Zingiberales; Zingiberaceae
Exons: 4
Source: RefSeq, a predicted model, not a curated record